GAUGAACGCUGGCGGCGUGCCUAAUACAUGCAAGUCGAGCGAACGGACGAGAAGCUUGCUUUUCUGAUGUUAGCGGCGGACGGGCGAGUAACACGUGGAUAACCUACCUAUAAGACUGGGAUAACUUCGGGAAACCGGAGCUAAUACCGGAUAAUAUUUUGAACCGCAUGGUUCAAAAGUGAAAGACGGUCUUGCUGUCACUUAUAGAUGGAUCCGCGCUGCAUUAGCUAGUUGGUAAGGUAACGGCUUACCAAGGCAACGAUGCAUAGCCGACCUGAGAGGGUGAUCGGCCACACUGGAACUGAGACACGGUCCAGACUCCUACGGGAGGCAGCAGUAGGGAAUCUUCCGCAAUGGGCGAAAGCCUGACGGAGCAACGCCGCGUGAGUGAUGAAGGUCUUCGGAUCGUAAAACUCUGUUAUUAGGGAAGAACAUAUGUGUAAGUAACUGUGCACAUCUUGACGGUACCUAAUCAGAAAGCCACGGCUAACUACGUGCCAGCAGCCGCGGUAAUACGUAGGUGGCAAGCGUUAUCCGGAAUUAUUGGGCGUAAAGCGCGCGUAGGCGGUUUUUUAAGUCUGAUGUGAAAGCCCACGGCUCAACCGUGGAGGGUCAUUGGAAACUGGAAAACUUGAGUGCAGAAGAGGAAAGUGGAAUUCCAUGUGUAGCGGUGAAAUGCGCAGAGAUAUGGAGGAACACCAGUGGCGAAGGCGACUUUCUGGUCUGUAACUGACGCUGAUGUGCGAAAGCGUGGGGAUCAAACAGGAUUAGAUACCCUGGUAGUCCACGCCGUAAACGAUGAGUGCUAAGUGUUAGGGGGUUUCCGCCCCUUAGUGCUGCAGCUAACGCAUUAAGCACUCCGCCUGGGGAGUACGACCGCAAGGUUGAAACUCAAAGGAAUUGACGGGGACCCGCACAAGCGGUGGAGCAUGUGGUUUAAUUCGAAGCAACGCGAAGAACCUUACCAAAUCUUGACAUCCUUUGACAACUCUAGAGAUAGAGCCUUCCCCUUCGGGGGACAAAGUGACAGGUGGUGCAUGGUUGUCGUCAGCUCGUGUCGUGAGAUGUUGGGUUAAGUCCCGCAACGAGCGCAACCCUUAAGCUUAGUUGCCAUCAUUAAGUUGGGCACUCUAAGUUGACUGCCGGUGACAAACCGGAGGAAGGUGGGGAUGACGUCAAAUCAUCAUGCCCCUUAUGAUUUGGGCUACACACGUGCUACAAUGGACAAUACAAAGGGCAGCGAAACCGCGAGGUCAAGCAAAUCCCAUAAAGUUGUUCUCAGUUCGGAUUGUAGUCUGCAACUCGACUACAUGAAGCUGGAAUCGCUAGUAAUCGUAGAUCAGCAUGCUACGGUGAAUACGUUCCCGGGUCU
RNAcentral lists this ribosomal RNA (1372 nucleotides) under uncultured bacterium. RNAcentral describes it as "bacterial SSU rRNA". It matches the Rfam family "Bacterial small subunit ribosomal RNA", at positions 28 to 1381 of the family's 1533-position model. The record is from RNAcentral.